This 1905-nucleotide long non-coding RNA is filed under the name Heterocephalus glaber (naked mole-rat). RNAcentral's name for it is "lncRNA (ENSHGLG00000034670.1)". The record is from RNAcentral. Lineage: Eukaryota; Metazoa; Chordata; Mammalia; Rodentia; Bathyergidae.
GCGGGGCCGAGGGCAAAGGGCCCAGGAGUGGAUUCUGACAAGGCGGGAAAAUGGAAAGGCCUGGCCGGUCCCAGGGGGCCCUAGGAGAGUACCUGGCUGGGCUGGGGUGGCCGCCAGUUUCCCGGGCUGCAGUGACAGUGUGCGCUUCCCGAGGUGCUGCUCUCUCACAGAGCCGCCCCUCCCCCGAAUGGCUUGGAAAGCACAUCCCUAGCUCCUCCCCACAUCCUAAAUUUUUAUUUUGCGUCUAGCUUAUUUGCUAAAUUGUCCACACCAGGCUCCAGCUUGUCAUCUUCCUGCCUCAGCCUCCCAGACUACUAAGCUAACAGACGCGAGCUACCAUGCUAGACUGCUUCAUUGAAAUUUUGUAGAAAUUGCCGGGGAUUUAGCUCAGUGGUUUCGCCGCCUGCUGCGCAAGCUCAAGGACCCGAGUUCGGUCCCCGGUACCAAAAAAAAAAAAAAAAAAAAAAAGAAAGAGAAAUUUUGUAGAAACUAAAGUCAGUGUGUGUUGCAGAGAAAAAUGGACGUCAGAAUCAGUCAAACAGAAACAAUGAAGGAGGGGCUGCGUAGUGACUCAACCCGGUUACUCCCAUCACCAGAGAUGGAGGCAGGAGAAUCACUGCAAAUUUGGACCGCCUAGAAUACAUUGAGAGACCCUGUCUUGAAAAUAAAACCAAAACCAGGAAUGCUUGAGCCUUUCAUUCCACAGAUGAAAACCCAGCACUUUUACGACAUCUGUGAUUCCAUUUGUUUUUCCUUCCACUGUCCCAGAGGCCUCGCAGCUGCAUUCAGAGGAAGAGGUCACAAGGCUGAUGUGCAGUGCUUUUCAGCUAAGCAGGAGUUGCUCCAGACCCUCCCUCAGAGUGAUCGCUGUUGCCUCCUUCUGUGGACAAAUGGAAAGUUCCUGGAGGAUGAGUGUAGAAGACAGGGAAGAACAGAGGAAGGAAGGAAGGAAGGUUGAAAGUGGCUUCCAAGGGGCCCUAGCCUCCUUCGGCAUCGGCCUUGUUUUCUCUCUGUUUUGGUCACUGCCAUGGUGGCCACUAACAUCUAGGUCUUCAUCUUCUUACAGGUAUGCACUAAUCUAAUCUCAUACCUGACAUACUGAACUUCAAUACCCACUUCAUUAUUCUUUCUCCAUCCAUUUUUAACUCAAGGGGCUAAAUAGUCUUCCUCAAGCCUAGAAGAAUCACAGAAUUUGAGAUACUGAAAGAUAUUUCAGAAGAUGCAUCCAGGAGCCCAAUCUAUUGUAGUUGAGAAGAUAAACCCAAAAAGUGAUAUUACUUAUUCAAAGUUAAAUAAUGAAUCUACUGCACCCUGAUCUGCUAAGUUAUCUCUGUUGUUCCUCUCCACUGACUGAUCCAACCCAGACAGGAUGGGUACAUGCAAUAAUCUCAGAAUUAGCCAGAGGUUGGAAUCCAUCAUGGAGCUCUGAGAAGAAGCUGCUGCAGCCUCACUGCCUCCUUCACUUCCCGUGAAAACCUUGCAUGCUCUGGAGCCUGGUGAAGAUGGAGCUUUGAGGAGCCUGCCCAUCUGUCUUCCUCAGGGCUGGCCUGGAAUCCACCUCAGUGUUUUCUACCAAUACUGGUCUUUCGAAUAUUGGUACUGGAGAGGCAGGCAGCCUAGACCUUUUGUUCCAGUAGGAAUGGGUUCAGAUUGCUUUGCACUCAUGCCUGGCACCUGGCUCCAAUGGCUUGGAGGUAGCUGGAACAGUUUGAGAUCAUGUGAGUGUUGGUUCUCACUGUCAUCUGGGUUCUUUCAUUGUUCAAUAGGUAGAUUCAAGACUUGUCUCCAGAUGGCCUUUCCACACUGUCUCCUUGGAGGUACAGGCUGACUUCUUACACACUUUCCCCAGGCUCUCAAGAGGAUUAGGCUUGAAACUAGCACACUGUCACUUCUUCCAGUUCUGUC